This is a small nuclear RNA of Tupaia belangeri (northern tree shrew), 191 nucleotides long. Its record names the gene U2. It matches the Rfam family "U2 spliceosomal RNA". From Rfam's summary of the family: U2 is a small nuclear RNA (snRNA) component of the spliceosome (involved in pre-mRNA splicing). Complementary binding between U2 snRNA (in an area lying towards the 5' end but 3' to hairpin I) and the branchpoint sequence (BPS) of the intron results the bulging out of an unpaired adenosine, on the BPS, which initiates a nucleophilic attack at the intronic 5' splice site, thus starting the first of two transesterification reactions that mediate splicing. Lineage: Eukaryota; Metazoa; Chordata; Mammalia; Scandentia; Tupaiidae. The record is from Ensembl.
AUCGCUUCACAGUCAUUUGGCUAAGAUCAAGUGUAGAUUCUGUUCUUAUCAGUUUAAUAUCUGAUAUGUCCCUUACCUGAGGACAAUAUGUUAAAUGGAUUUUUAGAGCAGGGAGGUGGAUUAGGAGCUUGCUCCAUCCACUCUAUGCAUUGACCUGGUGUUGCAGUACCUCCAGAAAUGGUGCACCCCCU